UGGAAUUGUGUCGCAUUGUAGGCAUGGGUAGGAGCUAGGAAUUGGUUGAGGUUUCUCAUGAAGAGAGUGUGGGAAAGAAAAUAGCAGUGGUGAGUAGUUCGAUUUUAGUGUGGAAAAAGGGAGAAUGGCGUUCACGGAAGAGUGAAAAAUAAUAAUGAUUUGGGGGAAGAGAGAAGUAGGGGUUACAGAAUGAAGUUGAAGAAAGAAGAGUCUGUUUUGGGGUUUGAUUAAUUGUUAGCGUGUACAUGUAUAUAUUUUAUAAGUAGUGUGUAAUAUCCUAAUUCUUGAAAACUUUAAUGGCUUGGGUGCAGAGGGAAUAAGGUGUUGAAGUAAUAUAGUUUAGUUUUAUAUAGAUAUAAAGGUGUACGAGAAAGUGGGUUUACGUCAGGUAAUAUAUUGUAUUUAUAUAGUAAUGUGUAUAUAGAUAUCUAAUGUAUUAUAUUUAUAUAGUAAGGU
RNAcentral lists this long non-coding RNA (456 nucleotides) under Vigna radiata. RNAcentral's name for it is "long non-coding RNA (VRAD_LNC000393)". Lineage: Eukaryota; Viridiplantae; Streptophyta; Magnoliopsida; Fabales; Fabaceae. The record is from RNAcentral.